GAGAGAGAGAGAGAGAGAGAGAGAGAGAGAGAGAGAACCCUCUUAGGGAACACUAUUGACCUACUUCUUCCAAUGAGGCCCGAUCUCUUCAAGUUUCCCCACAAUCCACUAGUCCAUUAAGCGAAGCAUCCUUCUGAGGAUGAAUCUACAGAUGAGGUCAGGGCCUUCACCAACCAUCCAACCACUUCCUAAAGGCCCCAUCUCUGUGAACACUGAUACACUGAAGAGUACACCUUCUUCAACAUGUGAGUUUUUGGGAAACGCUUCCGCUCCACAGCAGACCAACAAGGGCACCUGAGCGAAGCCACCUCAUAUGGCUGCCGAGAGGGGAAGACUCUGCCUGCUCCAGGCUAAGAACUGUACCUGACCCACAGUGGGUACUGCCCUACUGUGCGAGUGGGAGUGUUUAUGUUGUUAGACACCCUUGUGGCAUUAGCAGAGGGCACUUGUCUGAGGACCUAUUUUGUAAGGGUUUGAGGACUGUGCAGUCUACUGCCUGGGGUCCUGAUAAGUUCCUGUCCUCACAGCAACACAUAUUCAUGGAUGAGACAGCACCAGAGGUCAGAGCUGACAGGGAGGUGGCCAGACGGGAGCCAUAUGUGAGCACAGCCAUUGUAUACAACAGCUACUUGAGCAGGCAGCCGUAGGCCUCCGGCAACUCCCCAUCGUCUCCAAUAGAUUGGAACCAAGCAGCAGAUACCCCUGUAACUGGAUAUGCUGUCCAUUUUACACAGUCUUACCAGGAGAAACCUCAACUCCUCAGGCUGGACGAAGGCUCUUUACCAUGAGCAUCCCAGGCUUAACCUAUGCCUCUGCCUCAUACCUCUCUCUCUUGUCGUUCUCAUACCCCAACCCCUUAUCCAGUGUUUGUAAACAUAAGACUCUUUUGUAACAUGCUUUAGUGCCUGUUUUGCAAGGGUUUCAUUUUCCAGGAGUGUGCAUGGUGACAUUGGCUCAGUUCAGUGCCAUGUCUGCCUUUUUUGCUGUCAACACACUCUACAUCCUGCCUCAUCAUCACCAUGGGCCCCUCUCUCAACCUUCUCACCUAUUUAUUGUCACCAUGGACACACUCGCAGCCCACCUUCCCUUCCUCCCUUGUCUCUAAUGAACAGAACAUCACUCAUAGACAAGGAUGGGGCAGGAACACAGACUCCGAUUAGAGCCACAUGCAAGUCCUGUUCCCACUGAUCAUGAAGUCAAGGAUGCCUACAGAGUUCUCCAUAAUCCCUCUGAGUCUGAGUUUCCUCAUCAGCCAAGUAAGUGUCCCACACAUCUGCCGUAGGUCACUCUUCUGAGAGGCUUCACGGAGGGAGACUGGGGAAUGCACUCUGUGCAGUAGCCACAGCAUGGCAGGAGGUCAGCAAGCGUCCACACAUGAAUGAGGGGCGCAGAGCCCCUGGCUUUCUGCAGCCUCUGCCCUCCAGACCACCCUUCCCAAACCUCCCAUCCUCCAUCCUGACAACAGUACUUCUGCACUUUCCUCCUUUUCCUCUUCCUAAUUGCUUUACAGGAUUGGGAAGGAGGAUCACAAAAUACCCACAAAAACCCAACAGUGUUUCUACUGGGGGUUCAGAAGAUUGGAGAUCAGUUGCCUGUGUCUCUCACAAAUAAAUUAAUGGAGAGGCAGCUUUUGUAACAAAAUAUGAUUCUGGUAGAAGGAUUAUGUGCACAAAAUCCAGAUAGAAUAUGUUACAUAUGUGGAGGGUUGUGUGAGUGUGUGUGUGUGUGUGUGUGUGUGUGGCAAAGCUUCAGUAAUCAUACACUUACAACUAAUAAAUUGGGUCAUUUAAUUCCACUGCAAUAAGCCUUUGAAAUAUAAGCUCUCAUUUCAGACUUACAGAACAUAGCCUCUCAUGAUUGUAACUCUCCAGGACAUAUUACCACUUAUAAUUAAAUUCACUUUUAAGAAAUCUGAAGCACUUGUGUGGAUUAUCUCUCUAUUCAAUGUCAGGAUGGUAAAAUUAAUGUGUAAUCUGUUGAAUGCAUUU
Rattus norvegicus (Norway rat) is the source of this 1988-nucleotide non-coding RNA. NCBI's taxonomy places the organism in Eukaryota, Metazoa, Chordata, Mammalia, Rodentia, Muridae. The record is from RefSeq and is a predicted model, not a curated record.